GGUUAUUUAAAUUUUCUCAACGAACGAUGUCUUUUCCCUUUGGACCUUAAAUCUAAUUUUAAAGCCAACAGAAGAGGGCUUACAAGUUGUCACGUUGUUUUGACAUUUGCAAGUACAUAGGAAGGAAGGUUCCAUUACAAUUUUUAGAAGUUCCAUGCUAAUAAUUAUUUUAGAGAGACAAAAGGGAAUGAUCUCCAGCCUGACUCAUUUGCUGAGAGUCUCAAACACAGCUGAAAAGUCAAGGUCUCCCAAGCCCAAGCUCCUUGCCUUCUUGAAUGCCUCAUUUGCAGCAGCUGCAACUGGCAUUGGCACUGCAUUCUCAUCUCCGAGUGCAAGAGCCAGCCUCAUGUCCUUCUGCUGAUGUUUCAGAGGAAAUGCGGGUGGGUAGCUAUUUUUUAUCAUGGCAGGUCCUUUCAUUUUGAACAUUGGGUUAGCUAUGGCUCCAAGAUCCAACACAUCGAGAAGGGUAUGAGGGUCCAAUCCACUUUUGUCAGCCAGUACAAUUCCUUCUGAAAACGCAUUCAUCAUACUGCCCA
This 536-nucleotide unclassified non-coding RNA is filed under the name Hevea brasiliensis (rubber tree). Lineage: Eukaryota; Viridiplantae; Streptophyta; Magnoliopsida; Malpighiales; Euphorbiaceae. The record is from RNAcentral.